Molecule: ribosomal RNA, 629 nt
Filed under: Clistobothrium grimaldii
Lineage: Eukaryota; Metazoa; Platyhelminthes; Cestoda; Phyllobothriidea; Phyllobothriidae
Description: Monorygma grimaldii partial 28S large subunit ribosomal RNA
Source: RNAcentral
AUGCAGGUAAACGGGUGGCGUCAAGCUGCAAGCCCGGAGGAUUCAGCUGGCUAGGAUGUUGUGUAUGCGCCUGGCGCAUCUAUCAGCCGGAGUAAGAUGUGAUAGUCCACUGGUAAACGGUGGGCCCGGCCGCAAGGUUGGGAUAUGUGUACCGGGCGGAAGCCGGAGCAUGCUAUUCGUCUGUUGGGCUGUCUAGUCAGUGCACUUUCUCUGUGGUGAACACCACGACCGGUGGAAUUGCCAGUCUGCUGUAGUCAAGUCGUAUUCAGUCGGUUCUUGUAGCCAACUGGGUGCGAUCACAGGCAAACUCAGUAAACGGCGUAGGGGUGUCUCGGCAUCCUUGCGUGUUAUCGGCUGCUGGUUGUCAACGGGCCUGCCUGAUGAUUGUUGUAACCGUCAUUGGGUGGUCUGGUGGGCUAUGGUGGUAAGAAUAACUGUGCAAGGCAUCGGAGUUCUCGGCCUCAAAUGCAUCCUGCAUACACGUUACAAGUGGAGUGGGGUGCCAUUGCAGCCUGCCUGUUGUUGGGUCUGAUUGUCGUGUCGCCUGCGCAAAGUGGGCCCGGCAGUGGCCUGAUGCGGGAUGGGUUGUGGAUGGUGCUUCCUGUGUAGGGUGCGGUGGGUCAAAUAUC